AGAUCAAUCGACUGAUUGCAUAAAGUGGUCAGUCGAUUGGCAGAAUAGCAGAAAACACAACAAAGCAGAAAACUGACUGACCCAAUCGACUGAUUGCAUAAAGUGGUCAGUCGACCAGCCCAAAAACCCAAAAUUCUGUUGCUACUCUUCUGCGUUCUGUUCAGCCCAAAAACAAAACGGGCCUCAACCCGCUAAGCACCAAAACCACUACACUAGAAAACGAACCAGAUCCAGCUCGCCAACAUAGAACUAGGUCUUCUACCUCUCUCCCUUGCCCGACCAAGUACUCUGUUGCCGCCAUGGAUGAAAGAAAAAACCACUGCUCUGUUCUGUUCUGAUGUCUCCUCAUAUGUUGUGCUGACAUUUCUUCCUUGCAACCUCCUGCUCCUCCGAUCGCUCACAGUUCUGCAACAAAUGGAUGAACGUACAAAUCAUACUUAGAACUCAGAUCUGCCAAAAGGGAGAACUAAAGGAAGAAAAAAGAUAACCAGCAGAAGAUGUUCCUGCUGAGUCAAAGGAGGCAAUAAUUGCACAAAGCUAUGCACGACAGGAAGAGCUCUACUACACAACAAAACAUGAAGGAUCUAGUACAAAAGGUGUUGUGCAAACAGUGUACCAUAGUACAUUACAACAAACAAAUCUAUGCAUACCAAUUUCUUGUGGAAGGAAUCUUGAUAUUUGAUUUAUACUUGAGCAGGAAUUUGUUGAGCCUGUCCUUGUUCAGCAAAAUUUCGAGAUGAAUAGUGCGAUGCUAGCACCACAAGGAGAAACACAAACUUACACAAAACUAAUGCAACAGAUGACUGUACUAAGUCAUCUUCAGAAUGACAAUAUGUCUUUCCCUAUAACAAGUUUCACUUCACUCUUGAAUGCAGGCAUGAAUGAUGAGUGGCUCAUGAUAGAACCAUUGACAAGCAAGCAUUCAGAACCAUUGACAAGCAAAAAUUCAAUACCUAAAAUACAAGAAGACGAUCAAGAUGAUGAUGAAGAUGAAAAGGAAGAUGGAGAUGAAGAUGAAGAUCAAGUUGAAUCAGAUGAGCAUAGUUCUGAAUGCAACAGUGACCCUGAUGAAAGUGAUCAAGAUGAGCAUAAUUCAGAGCUAGCUUACCUAGG
Long non-coding RNA from Triticum aestivum (bread wheat), 1113 nucleotides. RefSeq lists it as uncharacterized. The transcript has 3 exons. The record is from RefSeq and is a predicted model, not a curated record. Lineage: Eukaryota; Viridiplantae; Streptophyta; Magnoliopsida; Poales; Poaceae.